AUACGGAGGAUGCGAGCGUUAUCCGGAUUUAUUGGGUUUAAAGGGUGCGUAGGCGGUUUGUCAAGUCAGCGGUGAAACGCAAGGGCUUAACCCUUGACCUGCCGUUGAAACUGAUUGACUAGAAUGCGGAUGCUGUGGGAGGAAUGUGUGGUGUAGCGGUGAAAUGCAUAGAUAUCACACAGAACACCGAUUGCGAAGGCAUCUCACAAAUCCGUGAUUGACGCUGAGGCACGAAAGUGUGGGGAUCAAACAGGAUUAGAUACCCUGGUAGUCCACACUGUAAACGAUGAUAACUCGCUGUCGGCGAUACACAGUCGGUGGCCAAGCGAAAGCGAUAAGUUAUCCACCUGGGGAGUACGACCGCAAGGUUGAAACUCAAAUGAAUUGACGGGG
RNAcentral lists this ribosomal RNA (393 nucleotides) under uncultured bacterium. RNAcentral describes it as "partial 16S ribosomal RNA". It matches the Rfam family "Bacterial small subunit ribosomal RNA", at positions 523 to 918 of the family's 1533-position model. The record is from RNAcentral.